Molecule: long non-coding RNA, 761 nt
Organism: Harpia harpyja (harpy eagle)
Lineage: Eukaryota; Metazoa; Chordata; Aves; Accipitriformes; Accipitridae
Exons: 5
Source: RefSeq, a predicted model, not a curated record
GACAGAUCCAGUCUCGGUCACGUAACACCUCUGAGCCUAAGAUACAACCAGCAAAAUGAGCGAAGUUCUGGAAUCAGAGCACAAACAUUUCAGAACUUCUUCCACCCAAAUCCAAUUGCUGCAGUGAGAAUUAUAUCUGUUCAUGUAUCUGGAGAGGCAGAGGAUGAGAUUUCUCAUAUACACAAAGGCAAAGAACGUGGAACACAUGUUCUGCUGAAAUGAUUAAUCCAUACAAUUUAAAUCAUAGUUUGGAUGUAUAUAUCAAUCAUAAAUAUAACCCUCAGUGAUGCAACUAUUACGUCUCUAAAUCUGGUAUAUAUUACAAGAGAUCACAGAACAAUAGAGAUAUGAGACAUGACCAGUCAACUAAGUACUAAGAGUCAUCAGCGUUGUACUUGGAAAGAUCCAACAGCUUCAGGAACGGAUGGAAAAGAUAUCUGAAUGGCUCCACUAGACAUUCGUAAGGAGUGAUCCUGGAACAGAUCCCAGCAAACCUUCAGCAAAGAUGAAGGUGUUGGAGUCUGCAUGCAAAAUCAAGGACUCAGUCAUAAACACAUUACAGUGGGUGUCUGCACAAGGACAGCAUUUGUACGUGGAGUAUAAAUAAAUGGUGGGGGAGUGAUGUUCUCUCUUGAAUCAUGUAACAGUCACUUUGAUAGAAUUAUGGUGGCAAAUGACAGGAAGGGAAAUAUGGUGACUUCUGUGCUGCUAUGGCUAGAAAAUAAAAAUGUGCAUUUCCUGCUGAAGCAACAACACAUCAA